Molecule: unclassified non-coding RNA, 157 nt
Filed under: soil metagenome
Description: partial internal transcribed spacer 1
Source: RNAcentral
CUGUUAUCGGGCCCCUGGUUGGCUGUCUGACAAGUAUGAAAACCCUUGCCCUUUUUUGCGCACCCUUAGUUUCCUCGGCAGCCAUGGCUGCCAGCGGGGACCCCGAAAAACCCUUCUUGCAAUACCUGUUAAACCUUCUGAAAAUACCCAAUCGUUA